UGUGAAGAUCAGCACAGCCUGAAGC
Molecule: non-coding RNA, 25 nt
Filed under: Rattus norvegicus (Norway rat)
Lineage: Eukaryota; Metazoa; Chordata; Mammalia; Rodentia; Muridae
Source: RNAcentral